AUGGAUGGAGGAACUUCAUGGGGGCACGGAUGGUUUCAAAUACAGUCACAUCCAAUCCCUCCAAGAUGUAUUUUGUCCUGGCAUCAUAUUUCCUGGCAUUUGCCUAGUGUGGCCUGGAUAAGCAAGGGUUACAUGUUGAACCAAAUUCAGCUGAGACCUCUGGGUGUUACUGACCCAACCUCUACACUUUGGUCGGCUAUUUUCGCAGGGGUAAAAUCUAGAGCUGCUAAGAUAGACGAAACCAUGACCAUGACAAGCACGUGGACCAGGCCACAAUUGUACAAAGGGGACAUUGAUGCUAAGGAUGUAAGUGACUUGCUGAGAGCAGGGCAAAAACCCAGAGCCUUCCUGGUCAUUUCACUGCAUCCCUAUGGCAGAGUGGCAUGUCUUGGAGCCAAGGCUUCAAAGUUCCAAAAAGGUGUGGGAGUUGUCAGGGGCAAAUGUGAUCUUUUCCUGGGCUGGCAGUGAAUCUAACCUUUCUUGUCAACACCCUGUUGCAACCCCCCCCCCCC
This 512-nucleotide long non-coding RNA is filed under the name Sus scrofa (pig). Its description in RNAcentral is "lncRNA (ENSSSCG00015013612.1)". Lineage: Eukaryota; Metazoa; Chordata; Mammalia; Artiodactyla; Suidae. The record is from RNAcentral.